GGGUUGUGAGGUUAAGCGACUAAGCGUACACGGUGGAUGCCCUGGCAGUCAGAGGCGAUGAAGGACGUGCUAAUCUGCGAAAAGCGUCGGUAAGGUGAUAUGAACCGUUACAGCCGGCGAUGUCCGAAUGGGGAAACCCAGUGCAAUUCGUUGCACUAUCGUUAACUGAAUACAUAGGUUAACGAGGCGAACCGGGGGAACUGAAACAUCUAAGUACCCCGAGGAAAAGAAAUCAACCGAGAUUCCCCCAGUAGCGGCGAGCGAACGGGGAGCAGCCCAGAGUCUGAAUCAGCUUGUGUGUUAGUGGAACGGUCUGGAAAGUCCGACGGUACAGGGUGAUAGUCCCGUACACCAAAAUGCACAGGCUGUGAACUCGAAGAGUAGGGCGGGACACGUGGUAUCCUGUCUGAAUAUGGGGGGACCAUCCUCCAAGGCUAAAUACUCCUGACUGACCGAUAGUGAACCAGUACCGUGAGGGAAAGGCGAAAAGAACCCCGGCGAGGGGAGUGAAAAAGAACCUGAAACCGUGUACGUACAAGCAGUGGGAGCACCUUCGGGUGUGACUGCGUACCUUUUGUAUAAUGGGUCAGCGACUUAUAUUCUGUAGCAAGGUUAACCGUAUAGGGGAGCCGCAGGGAAACCGAGUCUUAACUGGGCGUUAAGUUGCAGGGUAUAGACCCGAAACCCGGUGAUCUAGCCAUGGGCAGGUUGAAGGUUGGGUAACACUAACUGGAGGACCGAACCGACUAAUGUUGAAAAAUUAGCGGAUGACUUGUGGCUGGGGGUGAAAGGCCAAUCAAACCGGGAGAUAGCUGGUUCUCCCCGAAAGCUAUUUAGGUAGCGCCUCGUGAACUCAUCUUCGGGGGUAGAGCACUGUUUCGGCUAGGGGGUCAUCCCGACUUACCAACCCGAUGCAAACUACGAAUACCGAAGAAUGUUAUCACGGGAGACACACGGCGGGUGCUAACGUCCGUCGUGAAGAGGGAAACAACCCAGACCGCCAGCUAAGGUCCCAAAGUCAUGGUUAAGUGGGAAACGAUGUGGGAAGGCACAGACAGCCAGGAUGUUGGCUUAGAAGCAGCCAUCAUUUAAAGAAAGCGUAAUAGCUCACUGGUCGAGUCGGCCUGCGCGGAAGAUGUAACGGGGCUAAACCAUGCACCGAAGCUGCGGCAGCGACACUAUGUGUUGUUGGGUAGGGGAGCGUUCUGUAAGCCUGCGAAGGUGACCUGUGAGGGUUGCUGGAGGUAUCAGAAGUGCGAAUGCUGACAUAAGUAACGAUAAAGCGGGUGAAAAGCCCGCUCGCCGGAAGACCAAGGGUUCCUGUCCAACGUUAAUCGGGGCAGGGUGAGUCGACCCCUAAGGCGAGGCCGAAAGGCGUAGUCGAUGGGAAACAGGUUAAUAUUCCUGUACUUGGUGUUACUGCGAAGGGGGGACGGAGAAGGCUAUGUUAGCCGGGCGACGGUUGUCCCGGUUUAAGCAUGUAGGCUGAUUGUCCAGGCAAAUCCGGAUAAUCAAGGCUGAGGUGUGAUGACGAGGUACUACGGUGCUGAAGUAACAAAUGCCCUGCUUCCAGGAAAAGCCUCUAAGCAUCAGGUAACAUUAAAUCGUACCCCAAACCGACACAGGUGGUCAGGUAGAGAAUACCAAGGCGCUUGAGAGAACUCGGGUGAAGGAACUAGGCAAAAUGGUGCCGUAACUUCGGGAGAAGGCACGCUGGUGUGUAGGUGAAGUCCCUGCGGAUGGAGCUGAGACCAGUCGAAGAUACCAGCUGGCUGCAACUGUUUAUUAAAAACACAGCACUGUGCAAACACGAAAGUGGACGUAUACGGUGUGACGCCUGCCCGGUGCCGGAAGGUUAAUUGAUGGGGUUAUCCGUAAGGAGAAGCUCUUGAUCGAAGCCCCGGUAAACGGCGGCCGUAACUAUAACGGUCCUAAGGUAGCGAAAUUCCUUGUCGGGUAAGUUCCGACCUGCACGAAUGGCGUAAUGAUGGCCAGGCUGUCUCCACCCGAGACUCAGUGAAAUUGAACUCGCUGUGAAGAUGCAGUGUACCCGCGGCAAGACGGAAAGACCCCGUGAACCUUUACUAUAGCUUGACACUGAACAUUGAGCCUUGAUGUGUAGGAUAGGUGGGAGGCUUUGAAGCGUGGACGCCAGUCUGCGUGGAGCCAACCUUGAAAUACCACCCUUUAAUGUUUGAUGUUCUAACGUUGGCCCCUGACCGGGGUUGCGGACAGUGUCUGGUGGGUAGUUUGACUGGGGCGGUCUCCUCCCAAAGCGUAACGGAGGAGCACGAAGGUUAGCUAAUCCUGGUCGGACAUCAGGAGGUUAGUGCAAUGGCAUAAGCUAGCUUGACUGCGAGCGUGACGGCGCGAGCAGGUGCGAAAGCAGGUCAUAGUGAUCCGGUGGUUCUGAAUGGAAGGGCCAUCGCUCAACGGAUAAAAGGUACUCCGGGGAUAACAGGCUGAUACCGCCCAAGAGUUCAUAUCGACGGCGGUGUUUGGCACCUCGAUGUCGGCUCAUCACAUCCUGGGGCUGAAGUAGGUCCCAAGGGUAUGGCUGUUCGCCAUUUAAAGUGGUACGCGAGCUGGGUUUAGAACGUCGUGAGACAGUUCGGUCCCUAUCUGCCGUGGGCGCUGGAGAAUUGAGGGGGGCUGCUCCUAGUACGAGAGGACCGGAGUGGACGCAUCACUGGUGUUCGGGUUGUCAUGCCAAUGGCACUGCCCGGUAGCUAAAUGCGGAAGAGAUAAGUGCUGAAAGCAUCUAAGCACGAAACUUGCCCCGAGAUGAGUUCUCCCUGAGACUUUAAGUCUCCUGAAGGAACGUUAAAGACGAUGACGUUGAUAGGCCGGGUGUGUAAGCGCAGCGAUGCGUUGAGCUAACCGGUACUAAUGAACCGUGAGGCUUAACCUUACAACGCCGAAG
Molecule: ribosomal RNA, 2923 nt
Filed under: Klebsiella pneumoniae
Lineage: Bacteria; Pseudomonadati; Pseudomonadota; Gammaproteobacteria; Enterobacterales; Enterobacteriaceae
Description: bacterial LSU rRNA
Rfam family: Bacterial large subunit ribosomal RNA
Source: RNAcentral